UACGUAGGGUGCAAGCGUUAAUCGGAAUUACUGGGCGUAAAGCGUGCGCAGGCGGUUUUGUAAGUCUGACGUGAAAGCCCCGGGCUUAACCUGGGAAUUGCGUUGGAGACUGCAAGGCUUGAAUCUGGCAGAGGGGGUAGAAUUCCACGUGUAGCAGUGAAAUGCGUAGAGAUGUGGAGGAACACCGAUGGCGAAGGCAGCCCCCUGGGUCAAGAUUGACGCUCAUGCACGAAAGCGUGGGGAGCAAACAGG
This 252-nucleotide ribosomal RNA is filed under the name uncultured bacterium. RNAcentral's name for it is "partial 16S ribosomal RNA". It matches the Rfam family "Bacterial small subunit ribosomal RNA", at positions 524 to 776 of the family's 1533-position model. The record is from RNAcentral.